CCAGACACAAAACAAGGUGGACGAACAAGAAGCUGGUUGGUGUUUGCUCUUGAAAUAUGACCCUUGCUUUUUUUGUUGACUGCAUAAUUAUAGUUUGUGGUAAGUGAGGCUUCGUGUGGACCUUGGAGGUGUGGACUAUGAUCUCUAACUAACCAACAGAGACGUUUAAGGACUUAAUUCAAGCCUGAAAUCACGAAGUCGCGGCACUGGCACAGCUGUUGAUGUGACAAUGAACCCAUCAAGACGAAAAAGAAAAAAAGGAGGAAUAAAAAUUGAAAAGAUAAAAAUUUAACGAAGAAAGGAAAGAGAGAGAGAGAGAGAUGAAAAGAAAAAGUAAGAAGAAGAACUUAUCACCAUCAUCAACAACAAGACAACUGUCAACAAGUCAACUCUUUUCGAGUCUUUGAUCCCCAUAAUCCCCUUGUCUACUCUUGGACCUUUAUACCUCCUUGACACUUGGAAAUCAUUAGAGCCCUGUUCAUUCAAGAUCAACCAGAUCAGCUUUCCAUUUGCCACAGUGAUAAACAGAUGGGAGUUUAACUAAGAGGCGGUACUCGACAGUCUAACAAUGAAGGAAAAAAUUAUGAAAGCUGAUUUUUUGUAGAGCUUAAAUUUAGACCUUUCCUCCCAAGAAAAGUCUCCACCAACCUCACCCAUCAAGAGCAUGGGAAUGACUGAAGGUUGUGCAUUUUUAAUUUGGAUCAUCAUGGUAUGGAUGGGUGUAUGCUUUUACAGUUUACAGAAGAACCAGUUUAUCAAGAAUACUGAAAUGGUAACUGGAUACUGAAACUGACUGAAUCAUGAAAUGUGCUGGCUGGAUAAACUAAAUAAGGGCCAAGAGGUGGCUCCCAAUAUGAACAACAAUUUUUAUGAUGAGCAGCUUUGUCUGGAAAGCAAUGGCAACCACCCCAUUGCUGUUGGAGGCAGGAAGUAUGUUGAUUUAUUUUUGAUGAAGCUGUGCAAUGGCUAGCAAUGAGUUUAACCUAUUGCAUGUGCUAAGUCGUGCCUUAAUAUUAAUCAACUCGUUGCUACAUGUACUGACUGUCGCUCACUCUUCAUCCAACCUUGGCCAGUCCAUGAAUACAACAUUUUAUGUGUGCAACUUACCAAGUAGUUACAUAGCUAUAGUUUCUAUCUGUCAGCAGCUAGGAUUUUUCAAUUUGUGGUAGCACUAUAUAUUUGUUUUGGCUAGGUGAUACCCCCACCCACUACCUGGGGAGAGAAGAACCAACUCGGCACAAACGUCAGUUGUUUUGUGCUGGCUGGUGCUGUCAACAGCUGUACAGCAGCAGCGGAAUUUUUGGGAUUGUUUGCUUUUACUUGAUGUCUUGGAAGUUUUGAUGAAGUACUCUAUACUUUGGUAGCCAUUUUGGCAACAUUUAGCUGUUAAUAGAAAUUUAUUCAAAAUAGUUAAAUUUUGCUUUUGGAUUAGUCUUUGCCUUAGGAUUGAGUUAAUUAGCAGGCAUGUCUGAUACUAGCUCUCAAGGUACUAGGUAUUGCACAGCAAAGACUGCAAUACGAGAGUCUUAAAAGCUUGUUACAAUCCGCAUUCAGUGUUAGUUGGGACAGUAAAGCUUAGAGAACUUUAACUAGCCACAUUAAUAAGUUAAAGAGAGAUAAGAAGAGGAAAGCUGCUUCUAGAGCUAGCUCUAAGAAGUGUGUAGUUAGUCAGGAUUUAUCUACUGGAAAUAUAUCUUUGUCUCCUGAAGCUUCCCUCUCAUCUGUUCAACCCAAACCUGAUGCCGUAGCCAACCUCGAAGCUCGGGUAGAUAAAAAAAUUUCUUAUCAUGUUACAGGCGAUGGAGAAGUUAGGAAUGUCUGUACAGGCAGUGGAGAAUGUCUGUGAAAACCUUGAUGGGCAAGGUAAGUGGUGAAGUGAGUGUCUUUGCUAGUGUUGUGGAGGAGGUGGCUGUUUGACCCACUGAUCUUCCUAGGCAAAGGUCCCUGUUAAACUCCCCAGCACCUGGGAGGAGGCAUACUGGUAGCCCAAGGGAGGUCAGUGGGUUCUGCCCCAAGCAGUUGCCCCCUCAGGCAAUUUGUUGAGAAUUCCCAGAUUGCAACAGAACACCAUUGGAAAGGUGUAUCUAAGGAUGUGUCUUUUUCCUUGAGUGCAUCCAGCUCUGGGGAGUUGUCUCCCAGGCACCAGUGGCCUUUUGUAGACGAGUCCCUUCCACUGAAAAGGAGGGCUUGUAAGAUGUCACCUUCUCCUGUCCCCAUUAAGAAGGCUAGUAUGCUUGAAGGUGAUCAAUGUCCUUGCACCUUAUGGGACUCCCCAGAGCAAUUUUCUCAAGAUUAUGAAGGUUUAGGGGGACACUGUAGUGAGAAUAUUCCUUCUCUAAAUCUCGUUCUUUGUCGAGGAAGUCUUCUUCUGGACAACAACUGAUGAGGUCACAUGCAGGAAUGGUUCAGAGCGUCUGUUGGCGCCAGAGCUUUAUCCUCUUCUGCCUUUCUCUCCAGUUCAUUCCACUAGUGCUAAGAAACAUAAGACCCCUGUGAGGCUGUUGGUGCCUGUUCAUCCUUCUUACACAGAAGGACAGGUUGUCUUAACCCCUGUUCACCUGUAAUUCAAGAGUGCCGAGUGGCGCUUGUGGCAGGAUGUAUCCAUGCUUGAAGAGCACGCGCUGGUGCAGGAGCGUCUGUCGGUGUAUGAGCACCCAUUAACACAAAAUCUCCCUCUUGUUCUGGAGCCCCAGGUAAUACAAGAGACCCAGGUAAUACAAGAGAACAUGUUGGCUCCCAAGUGCCCAUGAACGCCUGAGUGCCCAUCGGCACCACAGCUCCCACAACCACCCAGAAGCUCACUGACUCUACAGCUCCCAUGUGCACCCAAGCUUCCAUUGGUGCCCGAGCUCCCACAAGCGACCAAAUGCCCAUUGGCUCCUCUUGAACAGUCUGAAGUCUUUCAACAACCUACUACGACAGUUACUACAGUGGUCCCCCUCCCCUGUAUUUGCAGGGGAUGCGUACCAGACCCCCCGCAAACAGUUGGAACCCCUAUAAAAAUGCUUAAAAUGGCCUAUUUUGUUAGUUAUAUUUUGUUAGUUAAGACUCGAGAUAAACCCACUAAAAAUUAUUAUACCUGAUUUUUUAAUAGAUUUAUCUCAAAAAGCACAUUUUAUGAUGAAGAUAAAAAAACCAGGAAUCUGCGGAUAUUUCUCAUAGAAAAAUACCGCAAAUAGGCGAAUUUCCCUCAAAUUAUUGGGGGAUAUGUUCCAGAGAGAAAUCCGCAAAUGUGUGAGUCCACUAAUCCAGAGGACGUGAAUAAGGGGGGGCCACUCUACUUCUGUUUUACCAGCAUUGUUGCAAGUAAUGGCUAUCACAGAUCCUUCUAGUGUAGCCAUUCAAAAUAAGUUCGUGUUUUGGGAUUUAUGACUUCGGUACCUUCUGUUCAACCUCAAGCAACCUGGUCUCCCGUUUUGUCAGUGGCAGAAGAAGAAGAGGAGAGUAGGGAUUCUUCUCUGAUGGCCUACAAGUUGCUACUUUGUUGCGAAUUUCUCGUAACUCUUUCUUGCCAGUAACCCUAGCUUCACCAGAGUCUUCUUACUUGAGAGACAACCAAGUGGAUUCAUCCAAAUUGCCUAAGUUAGUAUUCUCUUUUUUGGCACAUUAGGCAUUGGAGGAAAUUAACCUUUGGCUUUAGGAGAAGAGGGAGCAAGGAAAAGUUAACUUCAAUGUUCCUUCAUCUCGUCUUUCCACUAGAAGACAUUCAUGUUAGGUUAUGAGACCAGAGAAGCUCUCUCUUUGGGUGUAUCUACCUCCAUUCAACGAGACUUUUACAGACUGGAAACUGUGGAGCAAACCAAUUUUAGACCUACAGUAGUACCUCGAGAUACGAAAGGCUCAACUUACGAAAAAUCCAAGUUACAAAAGCCAAGUUACAAAAGCCAAUGCGAAAAAUUUUACUGCUCUACAUACGAAAAGUUUUCAAGAUACGAAAGGUUGUUGCUGUAAAGUCCCGAGAUUCGCCCGGACCACCGAGAACAAUUUUAAAACUCCCGCGCCGCCAACUGAGUAAACUCGCCACCAUCCUCCCGCUCUCCCAUUGGUUCCUGAUGCUAGUCACCCCAUAAGGUCCUGCUCUCCUAUUGGUCAGCAUCUACCCUUUGUGCUUAAGUAUUCUAUUGGUAAAAGGUUGCUGUAAAUUGAAAAACUUAUUCAUGCAAUACAUUUAAUAAAGAAAACAUUAGGUAAAGAUAGAAUAAAGAAUAGAAAUGAAUGGUUAUUAUACUGUUUGGUAGUUUCAGUAGUUGAAGAGAGAGAAUGAAAAUUUAUGGCUUACUGUGUAAAGUGAUUGCUUGGCGAUCGUUCGAUACUCGUAAGUGCUGGAUGUAAACAGACGUUUGGAAGCUUUUUUUUGUUUGUUUAUUAUAGUUAAUGGUUACUUAAUAAUUAUUUGAAAUGAGUACAUGCAAUACAUUUAAUAAAAAAAAUUGUGAAUUAGAUAUCAUAAAAUAUAAAAUAAAUCAGACUGCCAACAAAUACGUAUUUUUUAGAAUUCUUCUUCUGUUUUAUUAUUACGUUACGUAUACGCAUGUUUUAUUUUAGCUGUCGGUAACUCGGUAUCUUCAUUAGGUAAAGAUAGAAUAAAGAAUAGAAAUGAAUGGUUAUUAUACUGUUUGGUGGUUUCAUUAGUUGAAGAGAGAUACUAAUGACAAUUUAUGGCUUACUGUGUGCUAGGAAAAAUGAUUGCUUGGUGCUCGUUCGAUACUCUAAGACGGGUAAGAGCUGGAUGUAAACAAUCGAUCGGAAGGUUUGUUUUUUGUUUGUUUGUGUAUUAUAGUUAAUGAUUAAUUAAUAAUUAUUUGAAAUGAGUACAUACUGAUUAUUUAUGCAUUUUAUUGGCAUAUUCUAAGCUUUUAGCUCUUAGGUUUAGAUGUCAGAAUCAUAGACUAGGCUACAGUAGCAACCGCUAACAUAGGCUAGGCUUAUUGCUAAGGGACAUAUGCUAAAGUCCUAAUAUAUGCAGUAAAAAUGGGGUUGAACAUUACAUGCAGUUGAAUAUUACUCAAGUAUGUACAGUAUUUUGCCUUUUUGGAGUCAUAUUUCUUCCGUCGUAACCCUAGAACAUGUGUUUUAGGCCUGGAAAUAUAAUUUACUGGGGUGUUUUUGGAGGGCUUGGAACGGAUUAGCCAUUUUACAUGUAAAAUGUGUUCCAAGUUACGAAAAACUCAUAAUACGAAGGCCGUCUCGGAACGGAUUAAUUUUGUAUCUCGAGGUACCACUGUAUUUACCACAAAAAACCACCAUCUUCCUCUUUGCUGCUCACCAGCUCCAUACCCGCAAGCAUGGGCAGCGACGGACACAUGCUUUUAAACUGGUCAGACAAAGACUUAUAAGUCUUUCCUCCAUUUAAGAUGGUGAGAGAAGUCCUCAACAAAUUUGGGUCUCACCACAUCUCUCUAACCCUCAUUGCCCCAUUCUGGUGAUAGAAGUCAUCAACAAAUUCAGGUCUCACCACAUCUCUCUAACCCUCAUUGCUCCAUUCUGGUGAUAGAAGUCAUCAACAAAUUCAGGUCUAACCACAACAUCUCUAUCCCUCAUUGCUCCAUUCUGGCUAGCGCAAGAAUAGUUUCCAGAUCUGCUAGAGCUCCUGGUAGACUUUCCAAAAUUGCUACCACAGACAACCAGUCUACUUAGACAGCCCCACUUCAGGAGGUUCCAUCAAGGACUGUUCACUCUGGCCCUGACCGCUUACAGAUUGUCCGACAACUCUUAUGAGCAAAAGAUUUUUCAAACCAAGCUGCAAGGGCUAUUGCUUAGUGCAGAAGAAAAUCCUCAAGUGAUGUCUACCAGGCGAAGUGGACGAUUUUUCGAUCCUGGUGCAAAAAGCAUUACAUAUCAUCUCAAACACCUAUAGUGGAAAUCAUUGAUUUUCCUUUACACUUGAAGACAUCAAGGAACCUGUCAACUUUGACCAUCAGAGGAUAUAAGGCAUUGCUGGACUCACCUUUAAGCACAGAGGGAUAGAUUUGUCGACCAAUAAAAAUCUUUCUUUUCUCAUCAGAUCUUUUGAUACAGUCAAACUUAGAGGCUCUAAGACCUUGGCUUGGAAUCUAGAUGUUCUUAAAUGACUCUCAAAACCAUGUUAUGAGCCACUGAAUACUUCAUCUCUGAGAGACUUUAUGAGAAAGACCCUAUUCCUGGUAGCCUCGUCUACAGCAGAGAGAGUGUGUGAACUUACCUUGAAGGACAAGAGAGUAGGCUUUGCUCAAGGUAAUGCUGUAGGUGCAUUUUAGCAAAAAACGAGACCCCAUCUAAGCCUUGGCCUCAUUCUUUCAUUACUAAAAACCUUACGGACUUAGUAGGACUAGGAAGAGAAGUCUCUGUGUCCAGUCAGAGCACUAAAAUGCUAUCUGCAGAGGACAGAGAAGAUUCGUUGCUUAUCCGAUCUCUUGUGUUGUUCCUUGAGGAACCCAUCUUACCCUAUGUUUAAGAAUGCCUUGGCAUUCUUGAGGAAUAUUAUUGUGGAGGCUCAUUCUCAAGUGAAAGAAUCAAAUUUCAAUGCAAUGAAAGUGAAAGCUCAUGAAGUAAGAGCAGUGGCUACAUCGCUUUCCUUUAAACAUAACCUCGUUUUAGAUGCCAUUAUCCAAGCGACAUAUUGGAAGUGCAAAUCAGUGUUUGCCUCUCAUUACUUGUGUAAAUCGAAACAGUUUAUGACAACUGCAGCACCUUGGGUCUGUAUUUAGCUACUGCCACGGUAUUGGGUAAGGGUGCAUAGGAAGUAAUUCCUUCCUAAUCUAGUCUCUUCGCCUUGAAUAAGGUUGUUGAGUUUUAAGGGGAGCCUGGGGGUACUAUAGAUGUACUAAGAGUACCCUUCCGUCUUUUUAUUAGUUGAGUAUGGUUUUUAAUUUUUUUAGAGGUGGUAUAUUUACGUACUCUGAUGUGAUUAUGUUGAUAAUAGUACUGCACACCGGGCAGGGGCAUCUGUCUGUUGAUCAUGCUAGCCACAGACUAUUCCUUAGCUGCAUGGAUCCCACUAAAGUAGAGGAUGACCUUUGGCUAUACCGCCACUCUACAAGUUAAGAUGAGCAUCAUCCAGAGUCAGUACUUUUAUGUGGGAAUAGGUUCCAGAACCUGCCACGGAAAUUGAAAAAUCCUGUUUUUAAACAUCUACCUCACCUGGUAGUUAUAUAUAUAGCUUACGUCCCUGACGUCAGCUAUAUAUGUAUAUAACUACCAGGUGAGUAUGAUCAAAAAUUUAUUUUAUUAUGAAAAUAUCAUUUUAAAAAUUUUUAUAACUGCCAAAUACCCAGUAACCCCUUAAGCUAAAAUGCUCAUAACUAUUUUAACAUUUCACUGCCUAAUAUGAUAGAUAAAACAAAAAUAUACCUUAAAUUAUCAUACUAAAACAAUUUAAUAUUUCAAAUAAAAAUACGUACACCCCAAACCAUCGUCUCAAAGCACCCAAAGUAACCUUACAUGACUGUACUCUCCUACUAUUGUUACUAAGUAGGCAAUAUACACCCCUAAAAUACAUAUAACUGCCUAUUUUAACAGUUUAUUGCCAAACUUGACAGUUUAAACAAAAAUUUACCUCAAAAUAUCAUCCCAGAACACCCUAAUAUAAUUUCUAAGUCAUGUUACAAAAGUGUGUACCAGCCAGCAACUGUUAUUUUUAGGUAUCCCCUUCCAUUCAGACGCACAUUUUCUUUGUCCUAAGUAACUCUGUUCUUACUUUUUGUGAUUACAUACAAAUACAGUCAACUUAAAAAAUGUUUUACCAUAUUAAGUUCUUGGUUUACGUCAUAUUGUGGUUAGUCCUUGCCAUCUCCCUUAAAUUUACUAAAGAUUCUUCUGCUCUCUCUCUCUCUCUCUCUCUCUCUCUCUCUCUCUCUCUCUCUCUCUCUCUCUCUCUCUCU
This is an RNA transcript of Macrobrachium nipponense, 7859 nucleotides long. It is a transcript of the gene named zinc finger protein OZF-like, with no coding region annotated. NCBI's taxonomy places the organism in Eukaryota, Metazoa, Arthropoda, Malacostraca, Decapoda, Palaemonidae. The record is from RefSeq and is a predicted model, not a curated record. The transcript has 3 exons.